RNAcentral lists this long non-coding RNA (3676 nucleotides) under Podarcis lilfordi (Lilford's wall lizard). Lineage: Eukaryota; Metazoa; Chordata; Lepidosauria; Squamata; Lacertidae. The record is from RNAcentral.
GACAAGGUAAAAAGACAUUAAAAGAUAAAAGAUAAGAAUACUAGUGAAAAGAAUAAGCAAUAUCAGCAUAGCAUACAAAAACUCAUACAAUACAAAUAAUAAACUAUUGCUCCAGAAGCGGUUUAGUCCUGCUGGCCCCAUGACCCGGAAAGCUGUCUGUGGACAAAUGCUGUCUCUCCCGGCCUGAAAGGAAGAUGAGUGCCGCAACCCCAUACUUGCCUUUGACUGGACUUAACCAUCCAGGGGUCCCUUACCUUACCUUACCUUUACCUUUUUAUAUUUCAAUUAUUUUCUUUUUUCUUUUUUUAAAUAAUGUUUAUUAAAAUUUUCAAAAAUACAGAAAGUAAAAAUUAAAAUACAUUCAGAUCCUUUUUUUCAUAUAUCCACUUUCUGGGACUCCCCCCUUCCCCCACCCCUAUCAUAUUCAUUUUUCAUGUUGUUGGCUCCACAAGCUCUCGGUUCUGAUUAAAAACUUAAUUUGUUUAAACCAUUAUUCGAAUUUAAAAUUUCUAGAUUCCUCAUCAAUACCCUUAAUAAAAAACCAAAAACUUCUUUCCCAGGGCCCACCCCAUUUUCAUUCCACAAUUUCCCUUUUUUUUUUUUAGUAAUAAAGACACCCCACAUAAUAGAAAUAUCAGAAAUAAGAAAUAAAAGAUAUAAUAGAUGAAACAAAGCCAGUUCAAAAAAAAGAAGUUGACAAGCCUUUGGAUUUUAGUUCUCCCCCUCUGUCCCCGGUUUAAUUUCCCCCUGACCACCAAACCAUGUUAUCCGCCUGGAAUUCUUACAAUCCAUAAAUCGCCUAUUUCCCCCAACUCCUUGCUGGCUCUUUUUUUUUUUUUUUUUUCCCCUUUCAUAAUUAUUUUUUAAAACACUUAACUUCAGAUCUUUAAUAAAGCUCCCCCCAUUGUUCUUUCCAAAUUGUAGUCCAGUUUCCUCUUGUUCCGCUGCUGAAACGUUCUAAUUCAGAAGCUUAGUAAGUCUGCAGGGAUUCUUGUUAUUCAGGAACAAAAACUUGCGUUCAGUCCCUUCCUUUCUUCAAUAGAAAAUUCUAUUGUCUCCUUUAGCUGAACACCCUGUAGACAAAAUAUUAUUUCCGUUUUGCAGCUUUCCCAGAAGAUAACCAGUUCUGUAAAAUUCCAAUGGUAUUUUUCCACUUACGACCAUCUUUGUAAUGUCCCGAAACUCCUCUAGGGGGAUUGUUGUAACUUUGUUUUCUCUAGUCCAAAAGUCCGAUUGUUAUCCAUAUUUUCGCCAUUUUGUAUCCAAGUUUUAACAAGUUGUAACAAAUUGUAUCAAAUUUAGCCAGCAAAGUUCUCAUAAUAAAAUCCUCUCUACUUUCCGACUUUGACAGCUACUUUGACAGCUGUCAAAAUCUCCGACUCUUUUCACCAGGCUCUCUCUUCAAUCACCCCGGUUCCCAGGGGGGGGGGGUUACGUUUCUUCUCCCUCAAUUCGUCCUCCAGCACAGUUCUUAUAAUUCCCCAUCGUGGAAUUCUUAGUUUUUAUCAGCAAUACAAAUCUUUUUGGACCUUGGUUUCCCCGUCCUUGUCUUGGAAGGUUUACAAUAGGGGGGGGGACUGACUUCCUUUUUGGAUCCCCCCCCCGCUCGUGUCCAAUUCAAAAAGAAAUUCUUUUUUUUCCUCCUUUUAAACCCAGUUUCCAAAUUACUCACGGGUUGUUGUUAAAAAGUCCGAAUUUUCAAUGGAAGAAGUCAGCGCUCUCCGCCGGAUGGCAUGCGGCUGCGCUCGGCAGGGAUAGCAGAGGACUCAAAGCACCACGCUUCUCCCCGGCACCCGAUCCGUAGCCUUUAAAAAGGCUCCUUCACGAGUCGGGAGGGCGCUGACGGUGCCAGCCGAGUCUCCAUGUCCACGGCCCUCGUGGCCGUGGUUUUUAAGGGUCCCCGCAUCGCCGGUGCGGUAGGACCCAGCCCCUGCCGAGCAGGCUCCCUCCGGAGCUCGGAGGGAGUCCGCCAUUCGGCGAUGGCGCCAACCCGGAAGUAUAUUUCAAUUAUUUUCUUCCAGUUGACUUCCUUCAUCCUCAGCACAGUUGCAUUUUCAUUUUUGAUAAAUUGUUUCCUCCUUUUUGUAUAUUUUUUACCCAUCUUUAUUUUUGUUUUUAUUUUUUUUUAUUUGAGGGCACUGCUUUUUAAGGUAAUCCCUGUAUUUUCCCCAUUCUUUUUGAAAUUUUUGUUUGGGCUGCCCCCUAAUUGCAUCUGUCAUUCUAGCCAAUUCUAUAUAAUCAAAUAAUUUAUCUUGCCAUUCUUUUCUUGUUGGUGUUAUUUCUUUUUUUCAAUAUUUAGCAAUUAAUGUUUUCGCAGCUGUAGUAGCAUAAAGGAAUAUUUUCUUAUUUUCUCUGGCUAUAUUCGUAUCUAAUAUCCCCAAUAAAAAAGCUUCUGUUUUCUUAACAAAGUUUUCUUUAAACAUUUUCUUUAGCUCUUCGUAUACCAUGUCCCAAAAGCUUCCAAUUUUGUCACAUGUCCACCACACAUGUAGUAGUGUCCCUCUACAGUGGGACCUCGGGUUUAGUACUUAAUUCGUUCCGGAGGUCUGUUCUUAACCUGAAACUGUUCUUAACCUGAAGCAUCACUUUAGCUAAUGGGGCUAACCCAAGGUACCACUGUACAAAUUUAAAUCAGGUAAUGCCAAUCCACCCCUAUUUUUUUAUCUAUUAAAAGUUUAUACUGCCAAAUAAAUUUUUUUAUACUGCCAAAUAAACUUUGAUAGAUCUUUUUGCCAAGAUUUAAAUCCCACCCCUCCAAUGAUUGGUAUCAUUUGAAAUAAGAACAUCAUUUUAGGCAACACUUUCAUUUUCACAACUGAUAUCCUGCCACACAUUGAUCAUCUUAACUUAUCUUAACUAUAAAUUUCCAAAUCUCUCUUGAAUUAUUUCCAUAUUUUUAUAUAGUUAUCCUUGAAUAGGUUACUGUUUUUAAUCGUCGGCCAAAUUCCCAAGUACUUAGUUUGGUUUACUAUUGUUAAUCCUGAUAUCUUCUGCAGUUCUUCUUUUUCCUGCAUUGACGUAUUUUUGCUAACAUAUUGGUUUUAUUCUUGUUUAGUUUAAAUCCUGUCACUUUUCCUAAUUAAAGAAUCCUUUAUAUUAUUUUGGUACACUCUCUUCUGGAUUUUUGGUAGUUAGGAUCAGAUCAUCUGCAAAGGCCUUCAUCUUAUGUGAUUCCUUUCCCACUGUUAUACUUUUUAUAUUUUGAUCUUACCUUAUUGCGUUCACAAUAAAUACUAAAGGUGAAAGAGGACAGCCUUGCCUGCUCCCUUUACUUAUCUUUAAAUCUUCCAUUAUUUCAAUAUUAAGGAUCAGUUUGGCUCUCUGGUUUCAAUAUAUUGCCUCAAUGCCUCUCUUAAAGUUUUCCCCGAGCCCUAUUAUUUCUAUAGAUUUUUUCAUAAAGUUCCACAAGAUAUUAUCUAAGGCAGGCACCCCCAAACUCAGCCCCCCAGAUGUUUUGGGACUACAACUCCCAUCAUCCCUAGCUAACAGGAACUAGUGGUCAGGAUGGUGGGAGUUGUAGUCCCAAAACAUCUGGAGGGCUGAGUUUUGGAGAUAUCUGAUCUAAGGCCUUCUCCUCAUCACCUCUUCUUAUCCUUUUGUAUAACUGGAAGAAUUUGUGGAUAUGUUUCAUGUGCUAGCAUGUUUGAUUUUAUUAAAGAUUGUCCUUCUCAUUGUU